This 1057-nucleotide ribosomal RNA is filed under the name Salmonella enterica subsp. enterica serovar Typhimurium. RNAcentral describes it as "partial 23S ribosomal RNA". It matches the Rfam family "Bacterial large subunit ribosomal RNA", at positions 642 to 1616 of the family's 2925-position model. The record is from RNAcentral. Lineage: Bacteria; Pseudomonadati; Pseudomonadota; Gammaproteobacteria; Enterobacterales; Enterobacteriaceae.
AAGGUUAACCGUAUAGGGGAGCCGGAGGGAAACCGAGUCUUAACCGGGCGUUAAGUUGCAGGGUAUAGACCCGAAACCCGGUGAUCUAGCCAUGGGCAGGUUGAAGGUUGGGUAACACUAACUGGAGGACCGAACCGACUAAUGUUGAAAAAUUAGCGGAUGACCUGUGGCUGGGGGUGAAAGGCCAAUCAAACCGGGAGAUAGCUGGUUCUCCCCGAAAGCUAUUUAGGUAGCGCCUCGUGAAUUCAUCUCCGGGGGUAGAGCACUGUUUCGGCUAGGGGGCCAUCCCGGCUUACCAACCCGAUGCAAACUGCGAAUACCGGAGAAUGUUAUCACGGGAGACACACGGCGGGUGCUAACGUCCGUCGUGAAGAGGGAAACAACCCAGACCGCCAGCUAAGGUCCCAAAGUCAUGGUUAAGUGGGAAACGAUGUGGGAAGGCCCAGACAGCCAGGAUGUUGGCUUAGAAGCAGCCAUCAUUUAAAGAAAGCGUAAUAGCUCACUGGUCGAGUCGGCCUGCGCGGAAGAUGUAACGGGGCUAAACCAUGCACCGAAGCUGCGGCAGCGAACGUAUCACCCAAGACAACUUUACGGAGUUGACGAUUGACGGAGCGAAGCGACGUCAAAGCGUUCAUUAAAGUCGAGUUGGCUUAGGGAUACGUUCGUUGGGUAGGGGAGCGUUCUGUAAGCCUGUGAAGGUGUGUCGUGAGGCAUGCUGGAGGUAUCAGAAGUGCGAAUGCUGACAUAAGUAACGAUAAAGCGGGUGAAAAGCCCGCUCGCCGGAAGACCAAGGGUUCCUGUCCAACGUUAAUCGGGGCAGGGUGAGUCGACCCCUAAGGCGAGGCCGAAAGGCGUAGUCGAUGGGAAACGGGUUAAUAUUCCCGUACUUGGUGUUACUGCGAAGGGGGGACGGAGAAGGCUAUGUUGGCCGGGCGACGGUUGUCCCGGUUUAAGCGUGUAGGUGUGUGUUCCAGGUAAAUCCGGUUCACUUUAACACUGAGGCGUGACGACGAGGCACUACGGUGCUGAAGCAACAAAUGCCCUGCUUCCAGGAAAA